GAUGAACGCUAGCGGCGUGCUUAACACAUGCAAGUCGAACGAAGCACCUCUCCCGAAGAUUGACACAGCUUGCUGUAGAUUGAUUCAUUUGAGGUGACUGAGUGGCGGACGGGUGAGUAACGCGUGGGUAACCUGCCUCAUAGAGGGGGACAACAGUUGGAAACGACUGCUAAUACCGCAUAGUAAGAAGAAUUCGCAUGUUUUCUUCUUGAAAGAUUUAUCGCUAUGAGAUGGACCCGCGUCUGAUUAGCUAGUUGGUAAGGUAACGGCUUACCAAGGCGACGAUCAGUAGCCGGCUUGAGAGAGUGAACGGCCACAUUGGGACUGAGAAACGGCCCAAACUCCUACGGGAGGCAGCAGUGGGGAAUAUUGCACAAUGGGGGAAGCCCUGAUGCAGCGACGCCGCGUGAGUGAAGAAGUAUUUCGGUAUGUAAAGCUCUAUCAGCAGGGAAGAUAAUGACGGUACCUGAAUAAGAAGCCCCGGCUAACUACGUG
Molecule: ribosomal RNA, 495 nt
Filed under: uncultured bacterium
Lineage: Bacteria
Description: partial 16S ribosomal RNA
Rfam family: Bacterial small subunit ribosomal RNA
Source: RNAcentral